This 200-nucleotide ribosomal RNA is filed under the name uncultured prokaryote. RNAcentral describes it as "partial 16S ribosomal RNA". It matches the Rfam family "Archaeal small subunit ribosomal RNA", at positions 1138 to 1338 of the family's 1478-position model. The record is from RNAcentral.
ACGGCAGGUCAGUAUGCCCCGAAACCCUCGGGCCACACGCGGGCUGCAAUGGUAAGGACAAUGAGUUUCGAUUCCGAAAGGAGGAGGCAAUCUCUAAACCUUACCACAGUUAUGAUUGAGGGCUGAAACUCGCCCUCAUGAAUAUGGAAUCCCUAGUAACCGCGUGUCACUAUCGCGCGGUGAAUACGUCCCUGCUCCUU